AGAGUGCACGGUGGAUGCCUUGGCGCCAAAUGCCGAUGAAGGACGUGGUACACUGCGAUAAGCCUCGGUCAGCUGUGUGCAAGCGCUAUCAGCCGGGGAUUUCCGAAUGGGGAAACCCACGCCAGUGAUCCUGGCGUAUCUGCGCAUGAACUCAUAGUGCGCAGAAGGGAACGUGGGGAACUGAAACAUCUAAGUACCCACAGGAAAAGAGAUUAUUCCGCUAGUAGUGGCGAGCGAACGCGGAUCAGCCCAAACCAGACCGGCUUGCCGGGCUGGGGUUGUAGGACCAGCGCACGAGAGUGCAGGUGGCUAGCAGAAUGGUAGUGAGAAGCCAACCAUAGAGGGUGCUAGUCCCGUAAGCGAAAGCGACCUGCUUCUCGCUGGGAUCCUGAGUACUGCCGGACACGCUAACUCGGCAGGAAGCUGGGGAGUCCACUCCCCAAGGCUAAAUACGUUUGGCGACCGAUAGUGAACAAGUACCGUGAGGGAAAGGUGAAAAGCACCCCUGUUAGGGGAGUGAAAUAGAACCUGAAACCGUGCACUUACAAACAGUCGGAGGGCUAAUGGUGAGUUGAUGCACCCUAGAAAUAGGGAGGCUCCUCGCUAGGCCUGACGGCGUGCCUUUUGGAGAAUGAGUCUGCGAGUUCAUACAUGUGGCUAGCCUAAGGGAGUUACACCCGGAGGCGCAGCGAAAGCGAGUCUGAAUAGGGCGUCCAGUCGCUUGUAUGAGGCACGAAACCCGGUGAUCUACCCAUGGCCAGGGUGAAGCGGGCUUAACCGCCCGUGGAGGCCCGAACCUACUGUUGUUGCAAAAACAGGGGAUGAGCUGUGGGUAGGGGUGAUAUGCCAACCGAACUGGGAGAUAGCUUGUUCUCCCCGAAAUAGCUUUAGGGCUAGCGUCACGCGUUCAGUAACGGAGGUAGAGCACUGGAUUGGCUAGGGGCCUUGUCGGUUACCAAACCAAACCAAACUCCGAAUGCCGUUACUCUAGAGCGUGGCAGUCGGACUACGGGUGAUGAGAUUCGUGGUCGAGAGGGAAAGAGCCCAGACCAUCAGCUAAGGUCCCCAAAUUCGAGCUCAGUGGAAAACGAUGUGGGAUUGUUUAGACAGCCAGGAGGUUGGCUUAGAAGCAGCCACCCUUUAAAGAGUGCGUAAUAGCUCACUGGUCAAACGAUCCUGCGCGGACAAUUCAUCGGGGCUAAGCUCGAUACCGAAGCUGUGGAUCCGUCGCAAGACGGGUAGUAGGGGAGCGUUCCGCCAGCUGGGAAGGUCGACCGUAAGGACGGCUGGAGCGGGCGGAAGUGAGAAUGCAGACAUGAGUAGCGCAAAACACGUGAGAACCGUGUUCGCCGUAAGUCUAAGGUUUCCGACGCAAGGUCAGUCCGCGUCGGGUUAGUCGGGCCUUAGCCGAGGCCGCAAGGCGUAGGUGAUGGACAUCCGGUCAACAUUCCGGAACCGCCUGGACAGAGCGAAGGAGUGACGCAGAGAGGUAAACCAGCCUUCCCACUGGACAUGGAAGGUGCGAAACGCGUAGGCGUUGAGGCCGGUAGGCAAAUCCGCCGGCUGAGCUGAGGCGUGAUAGCGAGCCCCCGAGGCAUAAGUGGUCAAGCCUAACUGCCAAGAAAAACUUCGUAGCGUUGAAGGCCAGGCGCCCGUACCGCAAACCGACACUGGUAGACGGGUAGAAUAUACCAAGGCGACCGGAAGAACCCUCGUUAAGGAAUUAGGCAAAAUAACCUCGUAACUUCGGGAAAAGAGGUGUCUCCUAGCGUGAAUUCAAUCCGAAGGAGCGCUGGGGGAUCGCAGGGAAACGGCUCUAGUGACUGGUUAACUAAACCACAGGUCUCUGCUAAGCCGCAAGGCGAAGUAUAGGGGCUGACACCUGCCCAGUGCCGGAAGGUUAAGGGGAGAGGUUAGCGCAAGCGAAGCUUUGAGCCCCAGUAAACGGCGGCCGUAACUAUAACGGUCCUAAGGUAGCGAAAUUCCUAGUCGGGUAAGUUCCGACCCGCACGAACGGUGUAACAACUGGAGCACUGUCUCAACGAGGGAUCCGGCGAAAUUGAAAUGGCAGUGAAGAUGCUGCCUACCCGCAGUAGGACAAAAAGACCCCGUGGAGCUUUACUACACCUUGGCAUUGUGUUAGAACUCCGUCUGCGUAGAAUAGGUGGGAGGCUUCGAACCUGGGCUUCUGGGCUCGGGGGAGCCGUAAUGUGAAAUACCACCCUGAUGAAGUUUUGACCCUAACCUCAGACCGUAAUCCGGCUGGGGGACCGUGCCAGGCGGGUAGUUUGACUGGGGCGGUCGCCUCCCAAAAGGUAACGGAGGCGCCCAAAGGUUCC
Molecule: ribosomal RNA, 2339 nt
Filed under: bioreactor sludge metagenome
Description: bacterial LSU rRNA
Rfam family: Bacterial large subunit ribosomal RNA
Source: RNAcentral